This is a long non-coding RNA of Ipomoea nil (Japanese morning glory), 406 nucleotides long. RefSeq lists it as uncharacterized. The transcript is spliced from 2 exons. The record is from RefSeq and is a predicted model, not a curated record. Lineage: Eukaryota; Viridiplantae; Streptophyta; Magnoliopsida; Solanales; Convolvulaceae.
UUUCUGGAAUUCAGUAUUUGGAAUCAAGUUAUUGUUUUACUAUUUCCUUUUGAGUUUACUUAUAUUCUCUCUUGGAUGGAGUUAUAGUAAAAAUCUUCCUCUGGGAUAAGUAGAAAACACGUAAACAUGAUAAAGGGAAGUAGUGACAGUGAAGAGGUGUGGGAGAGGAACAACCGAACAAGUGUUACAAGUAAUAAAUUUUGGCUUGUGAAGUGUUAUAAUCUAAGAUUGGGCCAAGAUCACUCAACUAGGCUAUAAUGCACAUGGGUCAAACCACAUGACUGAAUCCAAUCAAUUAGCUAAUCUAACCCAUGUCCUUAUAAACCCAUAUAUUCCCUCUUAUUUUAUGAGUAUUUCAAAGAAUGAUUGGAGAAAUUAGUCCCUCCGUUUUUGAUGAUUCAUUGAU